UCCCUAUAUACAAUUCGGUCACCAUGGGGAUGGGCUGGGGCCUUUUCCUGUUGGUCCAGACCCCUCAAUCUGCCCAGAGAAGCCACGACAGAAGAGUGGUGAUUGGUGCAAGCGACAUGGGAUGAGAACCACUGGACCACCAGGGAAGUCCCAUGACUUUAAUUUUUUAUUUACCCUAUGGGUUCAGCACUGAUCAAGGUAUUGAGUGAACUGGCUGGCUCUCACUAAGUAUGGCCUUUAAAGACUAUCUACUGCAUUCCCCUUGGCAAAAUUUCAAUGGAGGUGCUUUACCCAAGUCUACUGAUGGAAUCUGACAUUUGGAAAAAGGGGACAAAACUUGAAGAGGCUCAAAGGCAUCCUGAGAAGAGAAGAAAGAGAAGGAAGUGUAAAAGACAGUAGUACCAGCCUGGGUGCCUGGUAUUCCCCCAGAGGCCAACAGUCCUGGACCUCUCACCUUUUGAGGAUGAUAAUUAGGGUUCCUGAAGCCGUAGCCAGACUCUUCUGCAGGUUUAGAGAGAGGGUCGCGAAAAUUCAGCUGCGGCGCCAUCUGCUGGAAGCGCCGCGACCCUGCAAGACCGUGCCGGGGAAGGAGAAAACGGGUUGCAGGUGAAGGUGUGGACUUUUGCCCAGGAAAGCCUCUGCCACCAAGGUAGCAUUUACAUGCAGUCCCCUUAUCUAAAAAGAGACUAAAAUGACCCUACAAGAAAAUGGCCUCGGUUUUGAGGAGCCUUCCGACCUAAAUGAACUGACAUAUGUUAUAUGGGUGUUCUCAGGAAAACCUGGGGCUUUAGGAGAAAAGGAGGCUUAACUCAUUUCAUUACUCCCGCACGAUUCUCAGGUGCAAAGCUGAAAACUAAAACUCUAUUUUCCACCAGUGCACACAGAGAAGUAUCAGGCAUAGAAGUCACAAUGUAUUUGUUCUCUUGAAUGGAACCGAUUUUGCUGAAUGGAAGGAAAUUUAAAAGCUGAAGAGGGUGACAGAAAUAAAAUUAAUCUGGGAGUGGGGAGGUGUUAAAAUGUGGCCUUGGCCGUGGUUUGAUAUAAGGUCACUAAACCCUGCUACCAUUUUCCAGACUCUUAAGUCAGUUCUGAUUUACUUGAUGAUUUUUCUGUUUAGGAAGCUUCAGGCUCUUUCCACACAAGGGUCUAAACCCAUUUUCAAACACAUUUAUAUUCAUACUUCAAAUCUCAAUUCACCAUUGCUGGAAACUUUGUUAAAGGCCAUAAUUAGAAAACUCACGGGGAACUGGAAGAAAGCAAGAUUUAGAGCAGAAUUACAGUUGGCCCACCCAUCUGGAAAAAUAUGGUAUCACAAUAGGAAACAUUUGUAAUGGAAAAAUGUUAUAAAACUGACCCUCCAGAGCUUGAUAAUAACAUUCUAACAAAAAUGAGUUUUUGUUUUCUGGGAUGAGCUUAUAAUGGUUUUCCUGAAAAAGAUGAAGUAGCUUUACCAACAAUAUAACCUUUUGGAACCUAACUGGUUAUAUAGUUCUUCGGGUCCAUGUCAUGUGACUUCCAUAUACAGUCAGUGUUUUAUAAAGACAUCCUUUGGUGCUUCGAUAACUAAGCCCUCAUGGAUGAGACCUACCUGAUCCUACUGCCACAGUGAAUACUUUUAUAGAGAAAAUGUUAACCCUCCAUAUGGAUGCUUGAAGAAAAUAAACUAGGAAAACAGGAUGAGAAAUAAGAAUCCAUUGUGAUGAUGCAUGGAUGGACUGUAUCAGAGAACUAGAAGAUUGAGUAUAUUUUCUAUUUUGAAUGAGCAAAGAGUUAUUGGGUACCAAAUUGUUACCAGUAGAGACAAUAUUUUUUAAUUAAUUAAUUUAUUUUUGGCUGCAUUGGGUCUUCGUUGCUGUACAGGCUUUCUCUUCGUUGCGGUGUGUGGGCUUCUCAUUGCAGUGGCUUCUUUUGUUGCAGAGCACAGGCUCUAGGCGUGCAGGCUUCGGUAGUUGUGACACACAGGCUCAGUAGUUGUGGCAUGCAGGCACAGUAGUUGUGGUGCAUGGGCUUAGUUGUUCCGCGGCAUGUGGGAUCUUCCCGGACCAGGGAUGGAACCCUGCGUUGGCAGGCAGAUUCUUAACCACUGCGCCACCAGGGUAGCCCAAGUAGAGGAAAUAUUUGAUGGCUGAUGCCACAUCUAUCUUACCUCUCUUCUACCAAUGUACUUGUGAGGAGUGUCUUUCAUAGAAAUAAAUAGCUUGAUAACAAAUCAGCAGUGUGAGUGGUGGCAUGCAGUGGAAUUGAGCAUCCCUUGGUGAAGGUACUUUCAGGGUCUCUGGUUUAGGACAGUGCAGGAGGGGAUCAGAGGUGGAGCAGUGAGAGCCAGAUAACUUAAGCCCUCGUGAUCUCUUCAAAAUUCAGAAACUGAAUUUUUCUCUUCUAUGGUUCUUAUUGUUUCAUUAGCUUAUUUGUUUAGAGGGUGCCUGCACCCUCAGAACAGAGCCCCAUGUACAAACUUCCUGUGACUUCUUCACAGAUGUCUCAAGAGUAUUCACUGAGCACUAUUUCUGGUGAACCCAAUAUAAAAAGUCUACACAUUCCCCCAGCAAUUGAGCUUGGGGUUCAAAUAUUUUGUGUUUGGCAAAACGCAGGGAAAUUUUUUCUAGAGAUGACCUCUCCCUUGACUUUCAGCCUGUUCUAAAUUGGGCUUUAGAGAGAAAUGUGACCAUUCUUUCAAAAACAUGAAACAGAUUGAACUUGGUAGACGUUUCUGUCUGGACCCUAGAAUUAGGUAAGUGUGUCUCUCACGGUCAAAAUCCUGACUUCACAGAGGACUCGCCUUAACAAUGUCAAUUCAACUCACUUUUGUUCUCUCAGCACCAGUCAGUCCUCUUCUCCUCACUCCCUGCAAAAUGUCAAGCUAACUCUUGCUCCUCAGUGGGUCUUGGCUUUCUGGACACUUCCUCCAAGACUUCCUUGACCUUUCCAGGUGAAGGGAGGGUGUCUCUGCUGAGUUCCCAACACGUUGUGGUUCCCCAUCAUAGCUCUGUCAUACCAUAUUCUAUUGCUUAUCUGUCUCCCAUACCAGACUCUUAAAUCCUGUGAAGACAUGCUAAGGCUAUUAUUAUGUUCAUUUAGCAUCCUCAGUGCCUAAUUAGUGCUUCAGUCCAAGCAGAUAUUAAGUUUUCAACAUACAGAGAUGGGAAGAAAGGGUAUUUCUGAUGGAGGAACUGACAUGAGCACACACACAGGUAUAGACUUUGAAGAAUGCCCAGGAGCAUGAGUAUGGUUUGGCUGAAGCCUGAAAGGGACUGACAGGAGAUAAGAUGGGAAAGAGCCUGGGGUGGUUAUGAAUAUUGUGAAUAUUAGUUUAAGGCAGUGGUCAUCAGAAGUUGAAAUAGUUGCAAAUGGUGACAUUUUUGGUGUGUUGUAUAUCGGAUGAGUACUUUGCAUAUAUUUUCAUUAGCAAGGCGGAGGCACAGAUCUAGCCCAUUUCACUUAAGGAAAAUAUCACUGAAUUGGCAAAACUGGUGUACAUGGUCAAACUGGGCAGUUAAACAGAAUUAUUUUCUAUCAGAAAAAGGUUAGCUCCAUUUUUAAAUUAAAAACACCAUGUAACGGGACUUCCCUGGUGGUCCAGUGGUUAAGAAUCCGCCUACCAAUGCAGGGGACAUGGGUUCAAUCCCUGGUUGGGGAACUAAGAUCCCACAUGCCGCGGGGCAACUAAGCCUGCAAGCCACAACUACUGAGCCUGUGUGCCGCAACUACUGAGGCUGCAUGCUCUAGAGCCCGAGCGCCACAACUAGAGAGACGCCUGUGCGCUGCAACGAAAGAUUCCGCAUGCCUCAACGAAGAUCCCACGUGCCGCAGCUAAGACCCGACACAGCCAAAUAAAUAAAUAAAUAUUUUAAAAAUUAAAAAAAAAAAAAGAACCCAGUGUAUUACUUCAAGGUCUUCCACCACCUCACUUGUGACUUCUAAUUCUAAGAUAGUCACUGUGCAAGGCACAGAGGCUUACCAGGAAUUUGUUCAGGGGAUGAAGAAGCUGCUGCUCUGUCAGUGUUUCUUACUUGGCUCUGAAGAGAUUCUCCCUCAGGCAUAAUGCAUUCUCAAAUCAUCCCUUGCUUUGGGGACAAAACAGUUCAGGACGGCUGAGGAGUUUCUGUUGUGAAGGGUCAGAGCAAUUGGAAAGGGGAGGCUGGAAAAGAGAAAUCAGCUCAACGUCAGCCAUUUCUUGGCAGAUCACUUUCAGGAAAGGAAAUAUUUGGUACUUAAGAAUCUGGAAAUUGAACCUCUUAAUACUAUCUACGCUAUGUACCCUUAGUUACCUAGAUCCCAGUUUGAAGACUGUGGUUUUAAAAAACCUGGAUCUUGGACUUCCUUGGUGGCGCAGUGGUUAAGAAUCCGCCUGCCAAUACAGGAGAAACGGGUUCGAUUCCUGGUGUGGGAAGAUCCCACAUGCCGCGGAGCAACUAAGCCCGUGUGUCACAACUACUGAGCCCACACUCCAGAGCCCGCACGCCACAACUACUGAAGCCCACGUGCCUAGAGCCUAUGCUCCGCAGCAAGAGAAGCCACCACAAUGAGAAGCCCGCGCACCACAACGAAGAGUAGCCCCCGCUCGCCGUAAGGAGAAAGCCUGCCUGCAGCAACGAAGACCCGACGAAGCCAAAAACAAACAAACAAACAAACUGAAACCUGCAUUUUAUCCUACAGAACAGUGAUCUCCAGAGUGGAAUAUACACGAGGUACAGAAAGGAAAUAUUACAAAUUCUGUUUAUACUUUUUAAAUGUCAUCCUCUUAAACUUUCUAUGUUGGUAGAUGUUUACAAUUUAUAUAAAAUGAGCAUAAUUGUUGACUGCAGGUGCGAACAAGGAAUAGUGCCAGGCAUCAGGGAAGAUACAAAGAGGUAUUCCCUGCCUUCAGAGAGCUGGCAGCCUAGCUGACACAUGAAAAAGCAAGUAACAAUAGUGAAUGCUUGGCUAACUAAAGGGAGGGUAAAAGGGAAAAAAUUUAAAAGAAUGUGGAAAGAGCAAUUGUUUUUUAUUCUGCUUUUAAACAUGCAUUUCCUGCAGAAAGAGCUGAAUUUUCAGUAAGGCCCUAAAAUGGUGAUAGUCUUGCCACACUAUUUUCAUUUCAAAUUCCAAGCAUUCUAUUUGGUCAUGUUUCUUUUUCUCCAUCUUUAACCACCAAAUUGAUGUUUUAUUUCUGAGUCAGGGGACCAUGGCUUUCAGUUCUUAGAAGAAGAAAUACCUAAAAAUGUGAGAUUAAAAAGGAUUUAUCCAUAGUCCUGGUCUUUCAGAAGAUAUCAACAUAAUGGUUAAAAUGUCCAGGGAAAAAGGAAGUUAGGGGAGUAAUUUCAGUAGCUUCCCUAUUUUUAGAAAUUCUGCUAUGAUCAAAAUUUCCCAGGGAGAGGGAUUUUUAAGUUCCCAAAGAACAUCAUAAGGCAUAAUGAUACAUUAUAGUUGUGUAUAGUAGAUCCACUCUCAAAGGAGUUUCAUGAUCUUAUCCUUGCAUUCCCACCAUUUAUGUCUCUAUUGAGUGUGAGGGUGAUAAAAGAGGUCAAGAGGCAUCCCAGACUCAGUCUGAACAGAAGCUCAGGCCUCCUGACAAAAACUGUGUUGGAAAAGAACCCUGAGGUGUCCAUCCAGGUGCUUACUCAGACCCCACCCUCCUCACAAUAACUCCAUAGGCAUUGUUUUAGCCAUUUAACAGAAUAAAAGAAAAGGAAAAAAAAAAAAACAAGACUUGGAGAAGAUAAGUAUACUUGCCGAAUACACAAUUGCUAAGUGGCAGAGCUGGAAUUCAACCAAUGUCUGCUUUAUUCAAAGCCUGUUUUACUUCCUGGGAGGCAACUGAUAAUUUUUGAUGGGACAGUCUCAAAAAUGUGGUAGAGGUAGAAGACAGAUAACACAGGGUUUAGUCACUUAUUAUUCAUCAUAUAUUUAUUGACGAGGGUGGGACUUCCAGGUGUGGCAGAGUGAAGAGGUGGGCAAAUCAACUCCCCCCCCAAAAGCAACUUACAAACCUGGAAAAAAUUGGUGAGAACCACCAUUUUAGCACCUUGAAAAUCGACCAAAGGCAUAGAAUAAUCUGAGAAGUGUUUGUGCUUGAACAACUGCUGAAAUUCAGUAAUAACAGUGGGACUCUGUGGCAUCCUUGCUUGAGGAUGCUUCCAUUUUCCAACCCUCUCCCCAGCCCGGUCAGCAUGGAGAUUUUGCCAGGAUGGGGGGAUGCUGUGAGGACUGGCACAGUCAAAGAGGGCUCACUUGAAUUGGAGCAGGAGAGGGCCAAUGGUACUACCAACCUGAGGUUGCAGUUGUGGCUGGGGGAAGAGUAUUCCUGGCUGAGGUUGUGUACAUUUGCAGCUGAGAACAGAGGAUCUAAGACAGCCACAUACUCCUGUCUGACUUUGAGGAUUUGAGCAUGGAGGAGCUGUGAAAGGGCCCAAUGAAAAGUAAAAGUAAAAGCCCAAGUAGAAUUGAAAACAGCCUGAACUUUAAAUUUGUUCCCCUGCCCACACACCCAUUACUAGAGGACAGAAGCCAGUUUCUGUCCCAACACUGGCUAACCUUUAGGCUACUUAGACACAGGAGUGACCCCUAGGAAGCCAGACUUAAAAAUAAAAACAAGAAAAAAUCAACUGAGCAGAGAUAUCGACAGCCACACCCUUCAGAGGAGACAGAUUUCAUAGAUUUAACCAAGGCAUGUUACUAAACACACAAACACAAAAGACAGCCUUAAGGGAGAACUCAGAAUCCAGAGUUGCUACAAUAUAGUAUUUAAAAAUCUAGCUUUCAAAUAAAAUAUGCAAAGAGAUAGGAAAGUAUGACUCAUUCUGAGGGAAAGAAAAAAUCAAUAGACUCUGUCUCCGAGAAGUUGGAUUUAUCAGGCAAAGACAUCAAAGCAGUUAUUAUAAAUAUGUUCAAAGAACUAAAAGAAAUCAAUGUUUAAAGAAUCAAAAGAAAUUAGGGCAAUAAUAUAUCAACAAAUAAAGAUGCUCAAUAAGGAAACACAUAACUUAAAAUUUUAAAAAUGUAAUUUCUAGAGGUGGAAAUAAGCAAUACUUGAAACAAAAAAUUCACUAGAGGGGCUGAAAGGAAGAUUCAAGUUAGCAGAGAAAAAGAAUCAGUGAACUUGAACCGAAGAGAUCAACCGAAAUUAUCUACUGAAGAAUAGAAAGAAUGAAAAUGGAAGAAAAGUGAAGAGAGCCUCAGAGACUUGCGGGACAACAGACCAACAUGUGUGUAAUGGGAGAGGGAAGAAGAGGUCAGAAAAAAAAAAAAAUGUCUGAAAACUUCACAAAUUUGAUUAAAAACAUUAAUCUACACAUCCAAGUAGCUCAACCAACCCAACUAGGAUAACUACAAAGAGAUCCACACCUAAACACAGCAUACAAAUUGUUAAAAACCAACAAUGGAAAGAAAAUCUUUAAAGCAUCAAAAGAAAACCACCAUGAUGGGACUUCCCUUGUGGCACAGUGGUUAAGAAUCUGUCUGCCAAUGCAGGGGACACAGGUUUGAUCCUUGGUCCGGGAAGAUCCCACAUGCCGCAGAGCAACUAAGCCCGUGCACCUCAACUACUGAGCCUGCGCUCUAGAGCCUGUGCUCUAGAGCCUGCGAUCCACAACUACUGAAGCCCAUGCACCUAGAGCCCGUGUUCCACAUCAAGAGAAGCCGCUGCAAUGAGAAGCCUGCGCAGCGCAACGAAGACCCGAUGCAGCCAAAAAUAAACAAAUAAAUAAAUACAUUUUAAAAAGAGCUUAAAAAAAACUCUAUAUUGAUGGGUUAUAACAUGUACAUGUGAGAUAUAAUAACACUUAAUGUAUUAUUAUGUAAUACAGAUAUAACUAUAUGAUAAAUAAUAUUAAGUGUUAAUACAAGGAUAUAUUUGAGAUAUAUAUUAUAGCACAAAGGAGGGUCUGGGAUAGAGUUAUAUUGGAGCAAAGUUUCUAUAUUUUACUGAAAUUAAGUUAGUAUUAAUCUGCAAUAGAUAGUAGUGAAUUAAGAUGUAUAUUAUCCCUAUAGUAACCAUUAAGAAAAUAAUUUUGAAAUAUAUGGUAGGGACUUCCCUGGUGGCGCAGUGGUUAAGAAUCUGCCUGCCAGUGCAGGGGACAUGAGUUCGAGCCUUGGUCCAGGAAGAUCCCAACAUGCCGCGGAGCAACUAAGCCCGUGUGCCACAACUACUGAGCCUGCACUCUGGAGCCUGCAAGCGACAACUACUGAGCCCACGAGCCACAACUACUGAAGCCUGCGCGCCCAGGGCCUGUGCUCCACAACAAAGAGUAGCCCCUGCUCGCCUCAACUAGAGAAAAGCCCACAAGCAGCAACGAAGACCCAAUGCAGUCAAAAAUAAAAUAAAAUAAAUAAAAUAGUUGGCUUAAAAAUAAAAUACCAAUAUUUGGAAAUAAAAAGGAGACAUCAAUGUUUACCCUACAAGAAUUAAAAUAUUGGGACUUCCUGGUGGUCCACUGGUUAAGAAUCUGCCUGCCAAUGCAGGGAACAUGGGUUUGAUUCCUGGUCCAGGAAGAUCCCACACGCCGCGGAGCAACUAAGCCUGCGCACCGCAACUACUACUGAGCCUCCACGCCACAACUAGGGAUAAGCCCUCGCACUGCGUUGAAGGUCCCGCAUACAGCAACUAAGACCCGAUGCAGCCAAAUUUUAAAAAUUUAAAAAGAGUCUAGGAGGGACUUCCCUGGUGGUUCAGCGGUUAAGAUUCCAUGCUUCCACUGCAAGGGGCACAGUUUCGAUCCUUGGUCAGGGAACUAAAAUUCCACAUGCCACGUGGUGCAGCCAAAAUAAUAAUAAUAAAAAUAAAUUGUUAUAAGAGUUUUGGAGACCAAGGAGGAAACAACAAUGGCAACUGAGAAAGAGCAGCCAGGAGGAAAACCAGAAGGGUCCCGGAAACCUAGUGAAGAAAGUGCUAAGUGAAGUGUUUCACAGUGUCAAAUGAUGUUGAUAGAUUAAAUAAAAUGAGAACUGGGAGUGACCAUUGGAUUUGGUAAUGUGGACGUCAUGGGUGACUUUUGGAAAAGUGGUGAGGGUUAAAGUCUGAUUCCAGCGGGUUCAAAGAGUAGUAGGAGGAAACUGGAGGUAUUGGUGGUAGAUAAUUCUUUGCUAUAAAGAUGAGGAGAGAAAUGGGAUAGUAGCCACAGGCAGAAGUGAAAUCAAGAGAGGUUGUUUUGGAGAUGGAAGAGCAUAUCUUAAUGCUAAAAGUAAACGUAGAAUAGAGGGGGGAAAUUGAUGCAGGAGACAGAAAAGAGAAUCACUAGAGUAAUAUCCUCGAGUAGGCAAAAGUGGAUGGGAUAUAAUAUACAAGUGGAAAGGUUGGCCUUGAAUAAGGGCAUGGGCAGUUUAUUGUCAGUAGCUAGAAGACAGGCAGAAGUGCAUGGGGACAGUCACAAAUAGGUAGAGUGUUAAGAAAAAUCACCCCAAAUUUGGAAAUAGGCUAACAGGAUUACUGGGUAUCUUUUUAGUGAAGAGCUGUGCUCCAUCCAGCAGGCCCUCUGGGGAUUAUCUCAUUUUCUAAGGGCCACUACCUUUGCUUGACUUUCUACUUAUUAUUGAUUAGGAUAUUUAACAAUUCUGUUUCUCUUCUUUAAUAAACUUAUUUAUUUAUUUAA
Molecule: long non-coding RNA, 9566 nt
Organism: Orcinus orca (killer whale)
Lineage: Eukaryota; Metazoa; Chordata; Mammalia; Artiodactyla; Delphinidae
Exons: 6
Source: RefSeq, a predicted model, not a curated record